UCAGUGCACUUGGAUAACCACACCUUGAGGAUCCAGUCCCACCAGUAGGCUACAAUGAUGCUUGCUCUUCAUGAUGGGGAACCAACAGGACAAAUCGAACAGAGAACCCGAGUGAGGGGGCGGAGGUCUGGAACCGGCGCAGCGUCUCAGCACGGGAGCAAAAGAAGUGUCACAGCUCAC
Tupaia belangeri chinensis (Chinese tree shrew) is the source of this 180-nucleotide long non-coding RNA. RefSeq lists it as uncharacterized. The transcript has 3 exons. NCBI's taxonomy places the organism in Eukaryota, Metazoa, Chordata, Mammalia, Scandentia, Tupaiidae. The record is from RefSeq and is a predicted model, not a curated record.